UGCGUAGGCGGGAAUGUAAGUCAAAUGUGAAAAACCAGAGCUCAACUCUGGCAGUGCAUCUGAAACUACAUUUCUAGAGGAAUGGCGGAGAAAGCGGAAUUCCACGUGUAGCGGUGAAAUGCGUAGAUAUGUGGAAGAACACCUGUGGCGAAAGCGGCUUUCUAGCUUAAUCCUGACGCUGAGGUACGAAAGCAAAGGGGGAGCAAACA
Molecule: ribosomal RNA, 209 nt
Filed under: uncultured bacterium
Lineage: Bacteria
Description: partial 16S ribosomal RNA
Rfam family: Bacterial small subunit ribosomal RNA
Source: RNAcentral